Molecule: long non-coding RNA, 640 nt
Filed under: Olea europaea subsp. europaea
Lineage: Eukaryota; Viridiplantae; Streptophyta; Magnoliopsida; Lamiales; Oleaceae
Source: RNAcentral
UAAAAUAACGAUCAAAAAAUCAAUUUUUUAGGUGAAAAAAUCGCUCCCAAACAGGCCCUAAAACAACUUCUUAUGAUGUCCAAAUAAGCAAUCCUCCCAAAACCAAUUUGGGAGAAAUUUGAAUGCCUACCCUAAAAAAUGUCCAAGUACAAAAUAUAAUUAGUCGCUUUCCCACGACGUUGUAGGUGUGGAAUUUACAGAGCAAGAAAAAUAAAACAAAUAAGCCGAAAUAUUAUUAUGACAAAAGCUCAAAUUCAAUUAAGACCUCCCUCCGCUGAUUUACAGCCCAAGAUUUCUCCAGUUUCUGAGUUUGAUCAUCUGCACCAAUACAAAUCAUAGAAUCAGAAAUUGAGAAAAAAUUAACUAGAAUAAUAUGCGGCCAAUAAUUUCAAGAGAGAUCGUAAGUAACUGGCUGCAUUUUCAGUAUUUGGGUUUUGACAUAAUCAAAUGGUAAACUGCAAGCUGCAGCAAAGAAUCCGGAUAUAUUGAAUUACACAAUACUAAACAUGAGGUAAAAAUCUCAUAAGAACACUGAAGAGGUUUCAGGUAAUAUCGGGCGGUCGAGGAAAAAUGAACACAUUGUGAGUCCAUAAUAUGGGUAGCCAUAACACCAGAGGCCAGAGAUCUGCAUACGCAUCCU